CUUUAAGCACAAGAGGAGGAUCUGGGUCUCACACGGUCCUCCGCCCCUUCUCAUUGUUCCAGCUGCUUCCUGAGGUGGUUACUAAUAAUUGUCACUCAUAAGACCUGCCUCGGGUUUCUUCAUCUGGAAGGAAAUUAAUUUUCCAAGUCACACAAUUACAGACAACUUUUAAAAGAGUCACUGAGACAGUUUCAUGCUUACCUUAGAUUAGAUGGUUCCAGUUUAUUCUUUUUUAAAAAAGAAAAUUUGUGUGAAC
Molecule: long non-coding RNA, 256 nt
Filed under: Homo sapiens (human)
Lineage: Eukaryota; Metazoa; Chordata; Mammalia; Primates; Hominidae
Description: HSALNT0383742
Source: RNAcentral